Molecule: non-coding RNA, 135 nt
Organism: Triticum aestivum (bread wheat)
Lineage: Eukaryota; Viridiplantae; Streptophyta; Magnoliopsida; Poales; Poaceae
Source: Rfam
CUUCUACUCCCUCCGUCCGAGAAUACUUGUCAUCAAAAUGGAUAAAAAGAGAUGUAUCUAAAACUAAAAUACAUCUAGAUACAUCCUCUUUUAUCCAAUUUGAUGACAAGUAUUUCCGGACGGAGGGAGUAAUAA